This 76-nucleotide transfer RNA is filed under the name Salipiger sp. PrR003. RNAcentral's name for it is "Yangia sp. PrR003 tRNA-Glu". It matches the Rfam family "tRNA". Rfam says of the family: Transfer RNA (tRNA) molecules are approximately 80 nucleotides in length. The record is from RNAcentral. Lineage: Bacteria; Pseudomonadati; Pseudomonadota; Alphaproteobacteria; Rhodobacterales; Roseobacteraceae.
GCACCCAUCGUCUAGUGGUCAAGGACGCCGCUUUCUCAGGGCGGAGACACCGGUUCGAAGCCGGUUGGGUGUACCA